UUGCUUCAGCAGCACAUAGACUAAAAUGGGAAUGAUACAGGGAAGAUUCGCAUGGCCACUGCACAAGGAUGACACACAAAUUUGUGAAGCAUUCCAUAUUUUU
Molecule: small nuclear RNA, 103 nt
Organism: Oryctolagus cuniculus (rabbit)
Lineage: Eukaryota; Metazoa; Chordata; Mammalia; Lagomorpha; Leporidae
Source: Ensembl